This 524-nucleotide ribosomal RNA is filed under the name uncultured bacterium. RNAcentral's name for it is "partial 16S ribosomal RNA". It matches the Rfam family "Bacterial small subunit ribosomal RNA", at positions 28 to 523 of the family's 1533-position model. The record is from RNAcentral.
GACGAACGCUGGCGGCGUGCCUAAUACAUGCAAGUCGAACGAAGCUUUUUUAACUGGUGCUUGCACCGACUUAAACAACUGAGUGGCGAACGGGUGAGUAACACGUGGGUAACCUGCCCCAAAGCGGGGGAUAACAUUUGGAAACAGAUGCUAAUACCGCAUAACCACAGAAACCACAUGGUUUCUGCGUCAAAGCUGGUUUCGUCUAUCACUUUGGGGCGGACCCGUGGCGUAUUAGCUAGUUGGUAAGGUAAUGGCUUACCAAGGGAAUGAUACGUAGCCGAACUGAGAGGUUGAUCGGCCACAUGGGGACUGAGACACGGCCCAAACUCCUACGGGAGGCAGCAGUAGGGAAUCUUCCACAAUGGACGAAAGUCUGAUGGAGCAACGCCGCGUGAGUGAAGAAGGUUUUCGGAUCGUAAAACUCUGUUGUCAGAGAAGAACGUGUGCGAGAGUAACUGUUCGUGCAGUGACGGUAUCUGGCCAGAAAGCCACGGCUAACUACGUGCCAGCAGCCGCCGUAA